GCUGGGCACUGCUUCACGGCGUGCGCGGCGGGGCCGGCCCUGCUGAACUAUUCACCCGUGUCUUUUGCGUACCUCUUGUUUCCUGGGCGGGCUCGCCCGCCACCAGGACCAACCACAAACCUUUUUGUAAUAGCAAUCCGCGUCAGUAACAACGUAAUUAAUUACAACUUUCAACAACGGAUCUCUUGGUUCUGGCAUCGAUGAAGAACGCAGCGAAAUGCGAUACGUAGUGUGAAUUGCAGAAUUCAGUGAAUCAUCGAAUCUUUGAACGCACAUUGCGCCCUUUGGUAUUCCAAAGGGCAUGCCUGUUCGAGCGUCAUUUGUACCCUCAAGCUUUGCUUGGUGUUGGGCGUCUUUGUCUCCAGCUCGCUGGAGACUCGCCUUAAAGUCAUUGGCAGCCGGCCUACUGGUUUCGGAGCGCAGCACAAGUCGCGCUCUCUUCCAGCCAAGGUCAGCGUCCAGCAAGCCUUUUUUUCAACCUUUGACCUCGGAUCAGGUAGGGAUACCCGCUGAACUUAAGCAUAUCAAUA
RNAcentral lists this ribosomal RNA (530 nucleotides) under Lewia sp. hotan12. RNAcentral's name for it is "eukaryotic LSU rRNA". The stretch from base 166 to 319 matches the Rfam family "5.8S ribosomal RNA". Lineage: Eukaryota; Fungi; Ascomycota; Dothideomycetes; Pleosporales; Pleosporaceae. The record is from RNAcentral.